RNAcentral lists this ribozyme (68 nucleotides) under unclassified sequences. RNAcentral describes it as "pistol ribozyme". It matches the Rfam family "Pistol ribozyme". The record is from RNAcentral.
AGACGUUUGGGCGUCGUUAAAUAGCAGGUUAGGCCCAAAGCGUGGGAGCCAGAUGGCUCCCGGUCCUG